GGCCUUGUGGCAUAAUGGAUAAGGCGUCUGACUUCUAAUCAGAAGAUUGCAGGUUCGAGUCCUGCCUGGGUCA
This 73-nucleotide transfer RNA is filed under the name Caenorhabditis remanei. Its description in RNAcentral is "tRNA-Arg (TCT) (tRNA-Arg-TCT-3-1)". It matches the Rfam family "tRNA". Rfam says of the family: Transfer RNA (tRNA) molecules are approximately 80 nucleotides in length. Their secondary structure includes four short double-helical elements and three loops (D, anti-codon, and T loops). Lineage: Eukaryota; Metazoa; Nematoda; Chromadorea; Rhabditida; Rhabditidae. The record is from Rfam by way of RNAcentral.